This 253-nucleotide ribosomal RNA is filed under the name uncultured bacterium. Its description in RNAcentral is "partial 16S ribosomal RNA". It matches the Rfam family "Bacterial small subunit ribosomal RNA", at positions 524 to 776 of the family's 1533-position model. The record is from RNAcentral.
UACGGAGGGCGCAAGCGUUGUUCGGAAUUACUGGGCGUAAAGCGCGUGUAGGCGGCCAGGUAAGUCGGAUGUGAAAGCCCGGGGCCCAACCCCGGAACUGCACCCGAUACUGCCUGGCUGGAGUCCCGGAGAGGAUGGCGGAAUUUCCGGUGUAGAGGUGAAAUUCGUAGAUAUUGGGAAGAACACCAGUGGCGAAGGCGGCUCUCUGGUCCGAUACUGACGCUGAGGUGCGAAAGCGUGGGGAGCAAACAGG